UUGUCAGUUAACCGCACGGCAUGGUUAAGGUACAUUGUGAUGUCCCGGGAAACUUAUUUAAAUUGAUUUAAUAUAAUAAUAUAUGUCCCCAUUCCAUGUAACAAGGAUUCCAUUAAAUCAAUUUAAAUGAAGAAAUUGCUCGCGAGGUGGGAAUUAUAUUAAGUAUAUCUAAAUAAUAUGUGUAUGUAUGUUAAGGGUAACUUAUUUAAUAUUAGGCCUUUCGAGAUAUAGCGCUAACUGUACUGUUCAACCCUACUUUGUCUUACCUAAAUUGGUAUAUAUUAUUUCAAUUACUUUAGAAAACUUCGUUUUAUGCGUAAAUUACGUCUUAUUGACGUAUUAAAAAGAUUAAUUCUUGAAAAUUAUGGGAACAAUUUUUUUUGUACUAUUUCUAUCCUGAAACUAGACGAAAUAGUAUAAGUUUUUAGAUUAGACUGAUAGCUAAAAUAUAUAUGAGGGUUGCAGUGAGUUGCCAAUGCCGCUGUAGUCAAGCGAACGGCUUACACUAGUACUUAUCGAUUAGUAUUACGACGUGUCAAUGUUUUAAUACACUUAUACAACGAACUUGCUAUCGAGCAAUCGCGAUUAGUCCAGUUAAGAUUCUCGUUUAAUUUGUAGGCUGAUAAAGUUUUUUGAUUCUGAUAUUAUUUUGGCUUCCAAACAAAGUUAUCAUUCUUAUAAAGGGUGUUAUGUUAUUGUUUUAGACAUAUACUGUGUUUAUAUUAGAGGUUUAAUUUUAUCGAGAAUUUAGAACAUUUAGCUCAAGCACGUAACGGUGUCCUAGAUAAAACACAUAAAAACACUUACCUACCUACAGUUUACAGCAAUUUAGUUAAUAUAUUUUGUGCUAAUUUACAAUUAAUAUACAAUUAAAACUAUAACGGUAAUUACUUGUAAAAUUACUUAUUUUAGCAUUUUCGUGUUAAAGAAAAUAUAAUAUCAAAAGUUUAAGUUAACUCUCUAAUUUUGAUAAGUAUCUGCUUUAAAACAGUUUGUGUGGGAAUUGGCAAUAACGUGAAUGUGGAAUUGUGUAUGUGUAAGUUAAACCCUUUUAUUUUAAUGACGACCGACAUAAAACCUACAUUCCUAACACAAUAGGCAUUCCCUUUUGGCAUUUCUAACAUUAUAAAUUCCCUAAACAAUAUAUAUUUAAUAUUUGAAUGUAUAUUUGCUAAGUUAUUUUAAGUCUUGUGAAAUAUUUUUGUAGAGCAUUUUAUUGAGGACUUUCCCUCGGGAAGCAACGAUUUAAUUUUACUAUAUUUUUAAUUGUAAAUUUUUAUUUUGUUAAGAUUUUUAUUAUAUUACUUUAUUACCGAUAUUUUAGAUUUAUAAUCAAACGGAUCAAUUCGCUUGAUGUUCCAUUUUAUUUGACCGCUUUAUGACGGAAGGGUCCUACAUUAUGUAUCGACAUAGAUUAUGCGCUAGGGUCACUAAUGUAUGGACAAAUGUAAGCUGAUUAUUGAAUAAUAAAACGGAAUUGGUAAAGCUAA
Molecule: long non-coding RNA, 1490 nt
Organism: Cydia amplana
Lineage: Eukaryota; Metazoa; Arthropoda; Insecta; Lepidoptera; Tortricidae
Exons: 2
Source: RefSeq, a predicted model, not a curated record